CCCGGCCCUCUCCCCUCCUCUCCGCAAGGAGUUGUCGCCGCUGUGAUCUAGGUUCCAAGCGACCGUCGCCUCCACGCUGCAACUUGUUCUGCUUUCUUCUGAAACCUGUCACUAGGAAUGUUGUCCAGGGCUGCCUGAGUAGCGUGGCGGCGGAGGCGGCGGCGGCGGUGAAGGACCUGCUGACCACCUACGCCGGCAACAACCUGGGCCGAUGACAUCAAGUUCUGGUACCCCUGGUCAUUGCUGCUCCACUAUAUCGACACCCCGGACGGCCUCUGCACCUACAGCUACGACAGGGACUGCAAGGACGAGGACGGCGUCAAGGGCCAGUGCGUCGCUGGUGCCAUCAGCAACUGCACCUUUCAGUUCCUGACAUACGGGAGAUCAUCUGCUUCCCAAUGUGAUGUAUUAAAUUACUAAUGUAUUUCAAAACCUGCAAACUUCUGAACUACUUGAGUCAGUGCAUAGUUCUAGGACAGUGAUAAAAAAAUUUUCUAUUGGGUUCGAUAACCUGACGCAA
Panicum virgatum (switchgrass) is the source of this 520-nucleotide long non-coding RNA. RefSeq lists it as uncharacterized. The transcript is spliced from 2 exons. NCBI's taxonomy places the organism in Eukaryota, Viridiplantae, Streptophyta, Magnoliopsida, Poales, Poaceae. The record is from RefSeq and is a predicted model, not a curated record.